Long non-coding RNA from Asterias rubens (European starfish), 796 nucleotides. RefSeq lists it as uncharacterized. NCBI's taxonomy places the organism in Eukaryota, Metazoa, Echinodermata, Asteroidea, Forcipulatida, Asteriidae. The transcript has 2 exons. The record is from RefSeq and is a predicted model, not a curated record.
GGUUUGUUAUUUUAUGCAUAUGUUAAGAUACACCAAGUGGGAAGACUGGUCUUUGACAAUAGUGUCAUGUGUCUUUUGACCACAAUAUUGUCUGUUUAAUUUCCUAAUAAUUGUUCUGUUUGGGGUUUUUUUUUUCCCAGUUUUGUAAAAACUUAAUAGCAGUAUGAUAUUAUAUAAAAUCGUUUAUUAUUGUCUUAGCAAUAAGACUAAUGCUAAAUGCAAUGGAUAUGUCCUGGUUAAUUAAUGCUCAGAUAUAAUCUAUGACAGAAGUAAUAUGAAUGAAAUAAAAAACUGUGUAACAAGUAAUGAUCCAACUUGGGUUAGUUUUUAAUUUCACGUACUCAAAAUCUUUCAGAUUGGAUUCACUGGCUAUCCCAAUGUGAUGAAACUUUCACAGAUAUUAUUUUGCUAAAUGGAUUUUGAACUUGAGGUUGUGAUUGAUUGUAUCUUUAAAUAACAAUCAGAUAGCAGCCUGGCAGCGCAAGUUUAAAUUUCUACAUAAUUUUGUCUGCUUCAAGUGUACUUCCUGCUAAUAAUUAUGGAAUCAGUUUCAAAAGCCAUUUUGAUUUUAAUUUGAUUUUUGUUUUGUUUUUUUUGUUAGCUUUGGUCAAGGUUUCUUAUAGUUUAUUUUGGUUUAAGUUUAACUUGGUUUUCUUUGUUUGAAGUUCCGAACAGAGUCAUUUUGAAGGUUUAGAUCACAAGUUCAUCCAUCUUUGGUUUGCAUUGUUUUAUACUGCUUUUGUUAAAUUGUCUUAUAAUCAAUAAAGUCAUUUUUUAUUUUUGUUUGAGAAACCUA